Molecule: non-coding RNA, 423 nt
Organism: Myodes glareolus (Bank vole)
Lineage: Eukaryota; Metazoa; Chordata; Mammalia; Rodentia; Cricetidae
Source: RefSeq, a predicted model, not a curated record
CUCUAAUUCACAAAACCCUCUCCCGGAGAGGAUGAGGCUGGAAAUGGGGCCUGUGGACUGUGCAUCUUCAUGAACCUGAGUUGAGAAUGAACACUGGGCCAGUCGGCGGGCCAGAGAGGCAAAGGCAAGGACACUGAGUGACCUUAGGAGAAAACGAAGUGGGCAGCUCUACAGACAGACUUCGAAGACUGUUGCCAGGUCUGGCAGAGGGCAUAGACUCCAUGGGCAGCAUGCGCCUGAAGGUAAUGGUUAGACACUCCAGCAAUUAUGGAAACAAGAUGGCCAGGGCCCAGUGGAGACUGGAGCGGGCGAGCCAGAAGCGCCACCUGCUGGUGGAUGCGGCAACGGCCGAGAGAAACAGAGCUCAAUUAACACUGAUGUGCUGGCAUUUGUUAGGGGCCCUUAGUUUCAGUCCUGGUGGAG